Molecule: ribosomal RNA, 305 nt
Filed under: uncultured bacterium
Lineage: Bacteria
Description: bacterial SSU rRNA
Rfam family: Bacterial small subunit ribosomal RNA
Source: RNAcentral
UGAUCCUACGGGGCGCAGCAGUGAGGAAUAUUGGUCAAUGGGCGAGAGCCUGAACCAGCCAAGUCGCGUGAGGGAAGACGGUCCUACGGGUUGUAAACCUCUUUUGCCAGGGAGCAAGAACGGAUACGUGUAUCCGAGCGAGAGUACCUGAAGAAAAAGCAUCGGCUAACUCCGUGCCAGCAGCCGCGGUAAUACGGAGGAUGCGAACGUUAUCCGGAUUUAUUGGGUUUAAAGGGUGCGUAGGCGGACUGCCAAGUCAGCGGUAAAAUUGCGGGGCUCAACCCCGUCGAGCCGUUGAAACUGGG